This 271-nucleotide long non-coding RNA is filed under the name Olea europaea (common olive). RNAcentral's name for it is "long non-coding RNA (OEUR_LNC003988)". Lineage: Eukaryota; Viridiplantae; Streptophyta; Magnoliopsida; Lamiales; Oleaceae. The record is from RNAcentral.
UUCAUAAACAAAACAGGACUGCGCAAGUAAUUUCAUUGAAUUCGAGGUGUACUCUCUCUCUCUCUCUGUGGGUGCGGUAAGAGGCGAUAAAACCAGACUGAACCAACCAAUAGGUCCGUCGACCCUCAAAGCAAUACGGUAUGCUGCUUCUACGCUAUCUAGCAAACACAAUGCUUUUCGGGCAUAGUGAUCAGUAAAGUAAAUCCACUUGUUUUUCCACCAGAACGUCUGACUUGGAAUUCUUGAUGCCACGCCAGAUUACUGUUUUUGA